CUGCGGCCACCGCUWUMGGRAUUCGAUUAAGACAUGCGAGUCGAGAGUCUUCGGGACUCGGCGGACUGCUCAGUAACACGUGGAUAACAUGCCCUUUAGGAGGGGGAUAAUCUCGAGAAAUUGAGGAUAAUACCCCAUAGGCCAUGAAUGCUGGAAUGCUUUAUGGCCCAAAGCUCCGGCGCCUAAGGAUUGGUCUGCGGCCUAUCAGGUUGUAGUGGGUGUAACGGACCCACUAGCCUAUGACGGGUAUGGGCCUUGAGAGAGGGAGCCCAGAGAUGGACUCUGAGACACGAGUCCAGGCCCUACGGGGCGCAGCAGUCGCGAAACCUUCACACUGGGGGAAACCCUGAUGAGGGAAUUCCUAGUGCCUGCAUUUUUUGUAGGCUUUUAUCUAGUGUAGAUAGCUAGAAGAAUAAGGGCCGGGUAAGACGGGUGCCAGCCGCCGCGGUAAUACCCGCGGCCCAAGUGGUGGUCGAUAUUAUUGAGUCUAAAACGUCCGUAGCCGGUUCAGUAAAUCUUUGGGUAAAUCGGCCAGCUUAACUGACCGAAUUCCGAAGAGACUGCUGAACUUGGGACCGGGAGAGGCCAGAGGUACUUCUGGGGUAGGGGUAAAAUCCUGUAAUCCUAGAAGGACCACCGGUGGCGAAGGCGUCUGGCUAGAACGGAUCCGACGGUGAGGGACGAAGCCCUGGGGCGCAAACGGGAUUAGAUACCCCGGUAGUCCAGGGUGUAAACGCUGCAGGCUUGGUGUUGGGGGUCCUUCGGGGGCGCCCAGUGCCGGAGAGAAGUUGUUAAGCCUGCUACUUGGGGAGUACGUCCGCAAGGAUGAAACUUAAAGGAAUUGGCGGGGGAGCACCGCAMCGGGAGGAGCGUGCGGUUUAUUG
RNAcentral lists this ribosomal RNA (884 nucleotides) under uncultured euryarchaeote. Its description in RNAcentral is "bacterial SSU rRNA". It matches the Rfam family "Archaeal small subunit ribosomal RNA", at positions 18 to 907 of the family's 1478-position model. Lineage: Archaea; Methanobacteriati; Methanobacteriota. The record is from RNAcentral.